This 322-nucleotide ribosomal RNA is filed under the name Peronia persiae. RNAcentral's name for it is "partial large subunit ribosomal RNA". It matches the Rfam family "Archaeal large subunit ribosomal RNA", at positions 2021 to 2608 of the family's 2987-position model. Lineage: Eukaryota; Metazoa; Mollusca; Gastropoda; Systellommatophora; Onchidiidae. The record is from RNAcentral.
GACUGUGCUAAGGUAGCGUAAUCAGUUGGCUUUUAAAUGGAGUCGAGUAUGAAUGGGUUUACGGAAACGAGCUGUCUCCUAUUUGGUUAUUUUGAAGUUUCUUUGAGGGUGCAAAGUCCCUUGAUUAGAAAAAAGACGAGAAGACCCUUAGAGUUUUUAUUAAAGAUAAGAAUUUAUUCAAGUUUUUGCUGGGGCGGCAAAGAGACAGAUGAUUAAACUCUCUUUUUAUUAUUUUUAGAAGACGAAAAUGUUAAGAAUCGUUAAACUACCUUAGGGAUAACAGCAUAAUUAAGUUUUAGUUUGUGACCUCGAUGUUGGACUA